AGUCUCGGACCCUCACCAG
RNAcentral lists this microRNA (19 nucleotides) under Drosophila pseudoobscura pseudoobscura. Its description in RNAcentral is "mir-2546-RB". Lineage: Eukaryota; Metazoa; Arthropoda; Insecta; Diptera; Drosophilidae. The record is from RNAcentral.